Long non-coding RNA from Notolabrus celidotus (New Zealand spotty), 285 nucleotides. RefSeq lists it as uncharacterized. Lineage: Eukaryota; Metazoa; Chordata; Actinopteri; Labriformes; Labridae. The transcript is spliced from 2 exons. The record is from RefSeq and is a predicted model, not a curated record.
ACUUGCCUUCCAUGGCAGUACGACGGGGAUGCGCGAGCAUCUUAAAAGGAAGCACGUCGUGGCUGAUUCAAUUUCUGACAGAGGGACAGUCGUCUAGCUCCCCAUGGCUUUUCUCACAGCUCCAUAUAAGACCUGUUACCCUGUGAACCAACACCUACAGCUAGAUCCUCAGGCGGAGGAAGUCUUCUUCAUGUUGCACAUACCAGACUGAAAUUAAAAGGGGAGAGUGUAUGCAGAGAGAUCUUCACCUCUAUAACAAAUAAAGUUUGUCAUCAUCAAAAUCCA